CGCUCUGGUGGCCUAGUGGUUAGAACGUCCGCAUCGGAUGCGGAAGUUCGUGGGUUCGAUCCCCGGUCGAGUCA
Potamilus streckersoni is the source of this 74-nucleotide non-coding RNA. The record is from the annotation of a GenBank genome assembly. NCBI's taxonomy places the organism in Eukaryota, Metazoa, Mollusca, Bivalvia, Unionida, Unionidae.